RNAcentral lists this small RNA (191 nucleotides) under Hapsidospora chrysogenum ATCC 11550. RNAcentral describes it as "Acremonium chrysogenum ATCC 11550 A. fumigatus sRNA Afu_182". It matches the Rfam family "A. fumigatus sRNA Afu_182". Lineage: Eukaryota; Fungi; Ascomycota; Sordariomycetes; Hypocreales; Bionectriaceae. The record is from Rfam by way of RNAcentral.
UAUUGAACAACGCAAAACCAACGUUCACGUUUCUCCCCCACUAAUUGAUGCGAGGCGCCGCGCGUUCUCGUGCGAGCGCCCACGACCACCGAUCGCGAGGAACACAGAAUGGAGAACAGACACCAGCGCGCAAUCUUGGGUGCGGUGCUUCCCUCUCAAUAUGGGGAGGAUCGCAAUGAUUGACCGUACAU